AUCGUCACUGAAUAGUGACUCACCUGCGUAGCACUCCACUGUCGGGAGUUAGCUCGUAAAACGUAUGGGCAUAAGUACCCCUUAGACCUGAGACUGUCACGGUGACUUGCAAGCAACUCACUGUACUUAGGCACUGGAUGACCUGAAUUUCUAAUUCAGGGAUCAGAAGGAUGCUGGGUGCAGUCAAGUACUCGCGAAGUCUGUGUAUGAGUCAAGAUGGGAUUGACCGCUUCAGAUUUUAGGAGUUGAUGUCUCACUGUAUUUCAAUUCAGUAAAACCUUGGCCAGGGUAAACCAAGUGAUGGUCACUUGAUUUGAUUAAUUGAAAUAUACUAUGGAUGACCAGACCCAGAGUUCGACAGUCCACUCUGAGGUCAUCUUGAGCAUCGAAGGUCAUAGGGAUGAAUUAUGCAAACAACCAUACGUCUAGGUUCUUGAAUGUUGCUUUGCAUAUUCGACCUAUCCGGACGUCGGGUAUCAUUGCUAGAUGGUCACCUCGAUUAGUGCAUGGAGUAGUCCAUGUACUACCGGCUUAGUGUUCGAACCUAUCGGAGUCACGCACAUUAGUCAAGCUGAGUAGGAAGGUCUUGA
This 590-nucleotide long non-coding RNA is filed under the name Phoenix dactylifera (date palm). RNAcentral describes it as "long non-coding RNA (PDAC_LNC012019)". Lineage: Eukaryota; Viridiplantae; Streptophyta; Magnoliopsida; Arecales; Arecaceae. The record is from RNAcentral.